Molecule: ribosomal RNA, 117 nt
Filed under: Fusobacteriota bacterium
Lineage: Bacteria; Fusobacteriati; Fusobacteriota
Source: RNAcentral
CUUGGUGAGGAUAGUUUAGGGGGUACACCCAGUAACAUUUCGAACCUGGAAGUUAAGUCCUGUAACGCCGAAUGUACUUGUCUGGUAACGGAUCGGGAGAAUAGGUACUUGCCAAGC